GCCAGUAUCAAACCCUCUCCUGUCCACUCAGACUGCAAGAUUGUUCUUUAGCUUUAUGCAAGACUUUACAGCCUUCUUCAUCGGAUUGAUUAGCCGGUGCACACUCUCCUGGUAAAUGCUUCAGCCUUCUGUUCUUGACCUCGAGUUCUGCCUCUGUGUCCUUGGAUCCUGUCUGCUCCUCUCCUUGGCCGCUUGACAUUUCCUUGCGUCGAUCCAACAGUCGAACACCCUACCCCACUGGGUCCGUAUCUGAAAGUGUGAGCGUAGCCAUCAGAAGCUGCACAAGAUCACAGAACUUCAAGAUCAGCUUCAUGUGAGCUCUGCUGAAAAAAGCCUCGGCUAGUAUUUGAAACGGAGCAGAAUGGAGGGGCGCUGCUGGUUCGCGCCGGGCCUGAGGAUACACAUCAUUGACGAGAGAGGGGGCUAUUGGCUCCGUAGUGCGCUGCGCGGAAAUAAAGCUGCUAGUGUCUUAUUGACUCUCUUGUUGGCUAAUAAAGGUUAAACAAGUAAACCUGUUAGUUGACAUCCCCGUGCCCCUAUUGAGGAAGGUUUAUGUACUGAGACCGGCCCUUGAGACUGAAGGUAGAAGUCUGUAAGUGAGUGUGCAGAGCGCAAACUGGGAGGAAGACGGGUCACAGCACUUACCGUCAUCGACCUCAGGC
Molecule: long non-coding RNA, 662 nt
Organism: Labrus mixtus (cuckoo wrasse)
Lineage: Eukaryota; Metazoa; Chordata; Actinopteri; Labriformes; Labridae
Exons: 4
Source: RefSeq, a predicted model, not a curated record